RNAcentral lists this ribosomal RNA (472 nucleotides) under Yersinia frederiksenii. RNAcentral's name for it is "bacterial SSU rRNA". It matches the Rfam family "Bacterial small subunit ribosomal RNA", at positions 36 to 497 of the family's 1533-position model. The record is from RNAcentral. Lineage: Bacteria; Pseudomonadati; Pseudomonadota; Gammaproteobacteria; Enterobacterales; Yersiniaceae.
CUGGCGGCAGGCCUAACACAUGCAAGUCGAGCGGCAGCGGGAAGUAGUUUACUACUUUGCCGGCGAGCGGCGGACGGGUGAGUAAUGUCUGGGAAACUGCCUGAUGGAGGGGGAUAACUACUGGAAACGGUAGCUAAUACCGCAUGACCUCGCAAGAGCAAAGUGGGGGACCUUCGGGCCUCACGCCAUCGGAUGUGCCCAGAUGGGAUUAGCUAGUAGGUGAGGUAAUGGCUCACCUAGGCGACGAUCCCUAGCUGGUCUGAGAGGAUGACCAGCCACACUGGAACUGAGACACGGUCCAGACUCCUACGGGAGGCAGCAGUGGGGAAUAUUGCACAAUGGGCGCAAGCCUGAUGCAGCCAUGCCGCGUGUGUGAAGAAGGCCUUCGGGUUGUAAAGCACUUUCAGCGAGGAGGAAGGGGUUGAGUUUAAUACGCUCAAUCAUUGACGUUACUCGCAGAAGAAGCACCGGC